UGGAAGCCUUCAUUCCUGGAGAUAACCACC
RNAcentral lists this non-coding RNA (30 nucleotides) under Mus musculus (house mouse). The record is from RNAcentral. Lineage: Eukaryota; Metazoa; Chordata; Mammalia; Rodentia; Muridae.